This 21-nucleotide non-coding RNA is filed under the name Caenorhabditis elegans. Lineage: Eukaryota; Metazoa; Nematoda; Chromadorea; Rhabditida; Rhabditidae. The record is from RNAcentral.
UAGAUGCCAGAUAUAUCUUAA